This 73-nucleotide transfer RNA is filed under the name Anaerolineae bacterium. Its description in RNAcentral is "tRNA-Arg". It matches the Rfam family "tRNA". From Rfam's summary of the family: Transfer RNA (tRNA) molecules are approximately 80 nucleotides in length. Their secondary structure includes four short double-helical elements and three loops (D, anti-codon, and T loops). The record is from RNAcentral. Lineage: Bacteria; Bacillati; Chloroflexota; Anaerolineae.
GCACCCGUAGCUCAAUGGAUAGAGUAGCUGACUUCGAAUCAGUUGGUUGUGGGUUCGACUCCCGCCGGGUGCA